This 711-nucleotide long non-coding RNA is filed under the name Brassica napus (rape). Its description in RNAcentral is "long non-coding RNA (BNAP_LNC005318)". Lineage: Eukaryota; Viridiplantae; Streptophyta; Magnoliopsida; Brassicales; Brassicaceae. The record is from RNAcentral.
AACACAUGCAUCUAUAACUUAUAUCUAGAAUGAUUUUCCAUCGCAUGUUAGAAGCAUCAAUUCUUAUUCCCCAAAGAUAAAAGUAUCCGGUUGGUGAUUGGUACACGUGUAAAGAUCACAUAUUCGAAACUCACGUAACCUGGCGCUAUCAUAACAUCAGCAUGAUUGGGCCGUAGCUGGACGCCCACGUAACUUGGCCCUAUAUUACCAUUUUCUUUAAAGUUCCAACUUCUAUCAGCUGUGGGCUUCUGAGUAAUCAAAUGUUUUCUCAGACCUUCUGAUUAUUCAUGUAUACACUCUGCUCAUUCAGCUGUGGGCUUUGGUCAUUCGUUUAAAUUAAUUUCAACUGAGUUUAGGAAGAAACCUUUUACACCAUUUCUCUUACCACAUCACAAGCCUCAUACGGUUCUUUUCCCUACGAAAUCCACUAUAGAAUUUGCACUCCACCAUUGCUCUUCACUCAUGUUCUCAUCUCUUUUGCCUCUUAACGAUUUCCAUGUUCAGCACAUUCCAUUUAACAGAGCUGUGUAUGAAACAAUGUUUGGUUUGUAUCCAUGUGUAUGCAUAACCAGAAUGAACACAUUAUUUGGCAGUACAACGAUAUUUGAUGGCUUUUCAUCGAUCAACGGAAUCAAUUGCAACAGCUAUGUCGGGCUCAGAUCGACGACAAUAAAUAAAGUUUGAGUUGCUUCUCUUCCAACUGCACCAUGC